This 433-nucleotide ribosomal RNA is filed under the name uncultured bacterium. RNAcentral's name for it is "partial 16S ribosomal RNA". It matches the Rfam family "Bacterial small subunit ribosomal RNA", at positions 29 to 507 of the family's 1533-position model. The record is from RNAcentral.
AACGAACGCUGGCGGCAUGCCUAACACAUGCAAGUCGAGCGAGACCUUCGGGUAUAGUGGCGCACGGGUUCGUAACGCGUGGGAACCUGCCCUUAGGUUCGGAAUAACUCCCCGAAAGGGGUGCUAAUACCGGAUAAUGUCUUCGGACCAAAGAUGUAUCGCCUUUGGAUGGGCCCGCGUUGGAUUAGCUAGUUGGUAGGGUAAAAGCCUACCAAGGCGACGAUCCAUAGCUGGUCUGAGAGGAUGAUCAGCCACACUGGGACUGAGACACGGCCCAGACUCUUACGAGAGGACGAAGUUGGGAAUAUUGGACAAUGGGCGAAAGCCUGAUCCAGCAAUGCCGCGUGAGUGAUGAAGGCCUUAGGGUUGUAAAGCUCUUUUACCCGGGAUGAUAAUGACAGUACCGGGAGAAUAAGCUCCGGCUAACUCCGUG